RNAcentral lists this long non-coding RNA (845 nucleotides) under Malus domestica (apple). Its description in RNAcentral is "long non-coding RNA (MDOM_LNC009918)". Lineage: Eukaryota; Viridiplantae; Streptophyta; Magnoliopsida; Rosales; Rosaceae. The record is from RNAcentral.
CAAAAACGAAUUAAGCAAUGCACAAUUAAUAUCGUAAUAAACAAUGUACAUAAUAAUAUCAAAUGGGGGAACACCAAAUCAAGUACAAAAACCCAGUAAAAAUAGUUUUAUUUAAGUUUCAAGACCAACUCAAAUUCAUCGGUAUGACACAUAUGUAACCCUGAAACCCAAAGAUAACCGCAAUAAGAUAUGAACCUAGCAAACCCGGAAAAAAAAUCAAAAAAUAGAAAGAAGAGAGAAAGAUACACAGAUUACAUUGUAUAUUUAGUGUAACAACAAGAACCCUAGAACGGUGAAGGUGCUAUCUUAUCCAACAAGCUGGGUGAAGGUGCUAUGUUGCCAAGGAAGGGUCUUCCAGGCUUGCACAGUGCUCCAUAGAAGCUUGGCUCACAAGAUUCCUGAAGGUGAUUUAUGUGAAUAAUCUUGAACCUCUGGAUGGGACCAAGACCCAACAGCAGGCAAACUAUUACCGUCAGUAGUAUAGUGCAACAAAUGCACGAGCAAACCCUAGCAAUGCACCCGGGGCAACACAUCUUUGCUUGAUUUCUUUUGUUUCUCCUUCUCUUCUUUUCUGAAGAUUUGGAUCCAAAAAGAGAGAAGAGGGUUUCUCUCUCUCUCUCUCUCUGUGUUUUUGUAUUUGGCCAGGCAAAAGAUUUCGAUCUUUUUCCCACUGGCCAGACGAAUUUUUUUUCUUCCUAGAGAUCUUGGAAUUCCCUUGAGUUGGGGAACGCAAACGGUUUAGCGAUGUGUUUUUUGUUUUAAAGGGCACACUGGAUGUAAAAUUUAGUAAAUUUUCAUAUAAUACGCGGACGUCAAUCGGGUUUUUCGAAAUCGGUUGACGAGUA